GUGUUCACUUCGGCAGCAUAUACACUAAAAUUGGAACUAUACAGAGAUUAGCAUGGCCCCUGCACCAGGAUGACAUAAAAAUUCGUGAAGAGUUCCAUAUAUAU
This is a small nuclear RNA of Molossus molossus (Pallas's mastiff bat), 104 nucleotides long. The record is from RefSeq and is a predicted model, not a curated record. NCBI's taxonomy places the organism in Eukaryota, Metazoa, Chordata, Mammalia, Chiroptera, Molossidae.